Small nuclear RNA from Ursus americanus (American black bear), 102 nucleotides. Lineage: Eukaryota; Metazoa; Chordata; Mammalia; Carnivora; Ursidae. The record is from Ensembl.
GGGUUCACUUCAGCAGCACAUAUACUAAAAUUGGACUGCUACAAAUUAGCAUGGCCCCUGAGCAAAGAUUCAGUUAUCUACUGUGUAAAAUUUAACUCUUAA